RNAcentral lists this ribosomal RNA (400 nucleotides) under uncultured bacterium. RNAcentral's name for it is "bacterial SSU rRNA". It matches the Rfam family "Bacterial small subunit ribosomal RNA", at positions 355 to 770 of the family's 1533-position model. The record is from RNAcentral.
UGGGGAAUUUUCCGCAAUGGGCGAAAGCCUGACGGAGCAAUACCGCGUGAGGGAUGAAGGCCUGUGGGUUGUAAACCUCUUUUCUCAAGGAAGAAAUUUUGACGGUACUUGAGGAAUAAGCAUCGGCUAACUCUGUGCCAGCAGCCGCGGUAAUACAGAGGAUGCAAGCGUUAUCCGGAAUUAUUGGGCAUAAAGCGUCUGUAGGUUGCGAAUUAAGUCUGUUGUUAAAGACCAGGGCCUAACCCUGGGAAAGCAAUGGAAACUAAUACGCUUGAGUAUGGUAGAGGUAGAGGGAAUUCCUAGUGUAGCGGUGAAAUGCGUAGAUAUUAGGAAGAACACCAAUGGCGAAAGCACUCUGCUGGGCCACAACUGACACUGAGAGACGACAGCUAGGGGAGCA